RNAcentral lists this ribosomal RNA (253 nucleotides) under uncultured bacterium. RNAcentral's name for it is "partial 16S ribosomal RNA". It matches the Rfam family "Bacterial small subunit ribosomal RNA", at positions 524 to 776 of the family's 1533-position model. The record is from RNAcentral.
UACGUAGGGUGCGAGCGUUGUCCGGAAUUAUUGGGCGUAAAGUGCUCGUAGGCGGUCUGUCACGUCGGGAGUGAAAACUCAGGGCUUAACCCUGAGCCUGCUUCCGAUACGGGCAGACUAGAGGUAUGCAGGGGAGAACGGAAUUCCUGGUGUAGCGGUGAAAUGCGCAGAUAUCAGGAGGAACACCGGUGGCGAAGGCGGUUCUCUGGGCAUUACCUGACGCUGAGGAGCGAAAGUGUGGGGAGCGAACAGG